UGCGCAGGCGGGAAGGUAAGUUAGAGGUGAAAUCUCACGGCUCAACCGUGAAACUGCCUUUGAUACUGCUUUUCUUGAGUUAGGGAGAGGUUGAUGGAAUUCCAGGUGUAGCGGUGAAAUGCGUAGAUAUCUGGAAGAACACCGGUGGCGAAGGCGGUCAACUGGCCCUAAACUGACGCUCAGGCACGAAAGCGUGGGGAUCAAACAGGAUUAGAUACCCUGGUAGUCCACGCCCUAAACGAUGAAUACUUGGUGUUGGCCUUUUUUGGUCAGUGCCGAAGGUAACCUGAUAAGUAUUCCACCUGGGGAGUACGCUCGCAAGGGUGAA
RNAcentral lists this ribosomal RNA (328 nucleotides) under uncultured Bacteroidota bacterium. RNAcentral describes it as "bacterial SSU rRNA". It matches the Rfam family "Bacterial small subunit ribosomal RNA", at positions 568 to 898 of the family's 1533-position model. Lineage: Bacteria; Pseudomonadati; Bacteroidota. The record is from RNAcentral.